UUGGGACCUGAUAUCAGGCAAGACUACCCGCUGAAUUUAAGCAUAUAACUAAGCGGAGGAAAAGAAACUAACAAGGAUUCCCCUAGUAACGGCGAGUGAAGCGGGAAGAGCUCAAGCUUGAAAUCUCCGCACAAGUUUUGUGUGGCGAAUUGUAGUCUAUAGAAGCGAUGUCAGCAUAGCUGCUCUAGUCAAGUUCCUUGGAAAAGGACAGCAUGGAGGGUUAUACUCCCGUCAUUGCUGGAGCAUGCUGUGUGUACGACACGUUUUCUUUGAGUCGCGUUGUUUGGGAAUGCAGCGCAAAGUAGGUGGUAAAUUCCAUCUAAAGCUAAAUAUAAGUGCGAGACCGAUAGCGAACAAGUACCGUGAGGGAAAGAUGAAAAGAACUUUGAAAAGAGAGUUAAAGAGUACCUGAAACUGCUGAAAGGGAAGCGAAUCGUAUCCAGUGUCUAUAAUCCGCAACAUAUUACAAUGAUGUGUCUUUGCUUUCCGCGUGUAGGUAGUAGCCUUGGUUGCACCUUGCGUGGAUUGGUUGAGCCAUAUCGUUGCCCUGUGUUGUGGUGGGACGCCAAAGUCAGUUUGUACGUCGCAGGAAAUGAUUGACGAGGAAGAUAGGUUUGCUGCUUGCAGCGUUCCAUUAUAUCCUUAUCGAUGUCUGCUGUGACGGAGACUGAGGUGUCUUUAACAUGCUCUCGAGUCUAUUAGACAUUCACUUGGUUGAGUGCGUAGAUAGCUUGCUAUGUACGUGUUUAUACAGGGUGAUUGUGUUUGGUAGUAACUUGUUGCUGUUCGGGACUUUGGCGAAAUGGAGCGAUUCGGCCCGUCUUGAAACACGGACCAAGGAGUCUAACAUGUGUGCAAGUAUUUGGGUGUUGAAACCCCAGUGCGUAAUGAAAGUAAAGGGUAAUGUAGAUUGCCUUAGGUAGGAAAGCGCUGUAUGGUGCUGGCACUAUCGACCGAUCAUGAACCUUCGUGGUGAAAGAUUUGAGUUUGAGCACAUAUGUUGGUACCCGAAAGAUGGUGAACUAUGCCUGAGUAGGGUGAAGCCAGGGGAAACUCUGGUGGAAGCUCGUAGCGAUUCUGACGUGCAAAUCGAUCGUCAAACUUGGGUAUAGGGGCGAAAGACUAAUCGAACCAUCUAGUAGCUGGUUCCCUCCGAAAUUUCCCUCAGGAUAGCAGCAACUUUUUACGAUAGUUUUAUGAGGUAAAGCGAAUGAUUAGAGGAUUCGGGGAAGAAACUUCCUUGACCUAUUCUCAAACUUUAAAUUUGUAAGACCUGCGAGUUUCUUAAUUGAACUCGUAGACGUGAAUAUCAAGUUGUUAGUGGGCCAUACGGGGUAAGCUCGUCUGGCGAUGCGGGAUGAACCGAACGCAAAGUUAAAGUGCCAAAGUGCUCGCUCACCUAGAUACCAUAAAAGGUGUUGGUUCAUUUAGACAGCAGGACGGUGCCCAUGGAA
This 1454-nucleotide ribosomal RNA is filed under the name Albugo candida. RNAcentral's name for it is "eukaryotic LSU rRNA". It matches the Rfam family "Eukaryotic large subunit ribosomal RNA", at positions 1 to 1259 of the family's 3401-position model. Lineage: Eukaryota; Oomycota; Peronosporomycetes; Albuginales; Albuginaceae. The record is from RNAcentral.